UGGGGAAUUUUGGACAAUGGGCGAAAGCCUGAUCCAGCAAUGCCGCGUGUGUGAAGAAGGCCUUCGGGUUGUAAAGCACUUUUGUCCGGAAAGAAAUCCUUGGCUCUAAUACAGUCGGGGGAUGACGGUACCGGAAGAAUAAGCACCGGCUAACUACGUGCCAGCAGCCGCGGUAAUACGUAGGGUGCAAGCGUUAAUCGGAAUUACUGGGCGUAAAGCGUGCGCAGGCGGUUUGCUAAGACCGAUGUGAAAUCCCCGGGCUCAACCUGGGAACUGCAUUGGUGACUGGCAGGCUAGAGUAUGGCAGAGGGGGGUAGAAUUCCACGUGUAGCAGUGAAAUGCGUAGAGAUGUGGAGGAAUACCGAUGGCGAAGGCAGCCCCCUGGGCCAAUACUGACGCUCAUGCACGAAAGCGUGGGGGAGCAAAACAGGAUUAGAUACCCCUGGGUAGUCCACGCCCUAAAACGAUGUCAACUAGUUGUUGGGGGAUUCAUUUCCUUAGUAACGUAGCUAACGCGUGAAGUUGACCGCCUGGGGAGUACGGUCGCAAGAUUAAAACUCAAAUGAAUUGACGGGGUCAUAGCU
Molecule: ribosomal RNA, 584 nt
Filed under: uncultured bacterium
Lineage: Bacteria
Description: partial 16S ribosomal RNA
Rfam family: Bacterial small subunit ribosomal RNA
Source: RNAcentral